UAUUAUGGAUGAGCCAAGAAAGUGGUUUCUUGAGGUAGAACGUACUUUGGGUGAAGAUGUGAGUAUUGC
RNAcentral lists this microRNA precursor (69 nucleotides) under Marmota monax (woodchuck). Lineage: Eukaryota; Metazoa; Chordata; Mammalia; Rodentia; Sciuridae. The record is from RNAcentral.